Molecule: ribosomal RNA, 2922 nt
Filed under: Klebsiella pneumoniae
Lineage: Bacteria; Pseudomonadati; Pseudomonadota; Gammaproteobacteria; Enterobacterales; Enterobacteriaceae
Description: 23S ribosomal RNA
Rfam family: Bacterial large subunit ribosomal RNA
Source: RNAcentral
GGGUUGUGAGGUUAAGCGACUAAGCGUACACGGUGGAUGCCCUGGCAGUCAGAGGCGAUGAAGGACGUGCUAAUCUGCGAAAAGCGUCGGUAAGGUGAUAUGAACCGUUAUAACCGGCGAUGUCCGAAUGGGGAAACCCAGUGCAAUUCGUUGCACUAUCGUUAACUGAAUACAUAGGUUAACGAGGCGAACCGGGGGAACUGAAACAUCUAAGUACCCCGAGGAAAAGAAAUCAACCGAGAUUCCCCCAGUAGCGGCGAGCGAACGGGGAGCAGCCCAGAGUCUGAAUCAGCUUGUGUGUUAGUGGAACGGUCUGGAAAGUCCGACGGUACAGGGUGAUAGUCCCGUACACCAAAAUGCACAGGCUGUGAACUCGAAGAGUAGGGCGGGACAAGUGGUAUCCUGUCUGAAUAUGGGGGGACCAUCCUCCAAGGCUAAAUACUCCUGACUGACCGAUAGUGAACCAGUACCGUGAGGGAAAGGCGAAAAGAACCCCGGCGAGGGGAGUGAAAAAGAACCUGAAACCGUGUACGUACAAGCAGUGGGAGCACCUUCGGGUGUGACUGCGUACCUUUGUAUAAUGGGUCAGCGACUUAUAUUCUGUAGCAAGGUUAACCGUAUAGGGGAGCCGCAGGGAAACCGAGUCUUAACUGGGCGUUAAGUUGCAGGGUAUAGACCCGAAACCCGGUGAUCUAGCCAUGGGCAGGUUGAAGGUUGGGUAACACUAACUGGAGGACCGAACCGACUAAUGUUGAAAAAUUAGCGGAUGACUUGUGGCUGGGGGUGAAAGGCCAAUCAAACCGGGAGAUAGCUGGUUCUCCCCGAAAGCUAUUUAGGUAGCGCCUCGUGAACUCAUCUUCGGGGGUAGAGCACUGUUUCGGCUAGGGGGUCAUCCCGACUUACCAACCCGAUGCAAACUACGAAUACCGAAGAAUGUUAUCACGGGAGACACACGGCGGGUGCUAACGUCCGUCGUGAAGAGGGAAACAACCCAGACCGCCAGCUAAGGUCCCAAAGUCAUGGUUAAGUGGGAAACGAUGUGGGAAGGCACAGACAGCCAGGAUGUUGGCUUAGAAGCAGCCAUCAUUUAAAGAAAGCGUAAUAGCUCACUGGUCGAGUCGGCCUGCGCGGAAGAUGUAACGGGGCUAAACCAUGCACCGAAGCUGCGGCAGCGACACUAUGUGUUGUUGGGUAGGGGAGCGUUCUGUAAGCCUGCGAAGGUGUGCUGUGAGGCAUGCUGGAGGUAUCAGAAGUGCGAAUGCUGACAUAAGUAACGAUAAAGCGGGUGAAAAGCCCGCUCGCCGGAAGACCAAGGGUUCCUGUCCAACGUUAAUCGGGGCAGGGUGAGUCGACCCCUAAGGCGAGGCCGAAAGGCGUAGUCGAUGGGAAACAGGUUAAUAUUCCUGUACUUGGUGUUACUGCGAAGGGGGGACGGAGAAGGCUAUGUUAGCCGGGCGACGGUUGUCCCGGUUUAAGCAUGUAGGCUGAUUGUCCAGGCAAAUCCGGAUAAUCAAGGCUGAGGUGUGAUGACGAGGCACUACGGUGCUGAAGUAACAAAUGCCCUGCUUCCAGGAAAAGCCUCUAAGCAUCAGGUAACAUUAAAUCGUACCCCAAACCGACACAGGUGGUCAGGUAGAGAAUACCAAGGCGCUUGAGAGAACUCGGGUGAAGGAACUAGGCAAAAUGGUGCCGUAACUUCGGGAGAAGGCACGCUGGUGUGUAGGUGAAGUCCCUGCGGAUGGAGCUGAGACCAGUCGAAGAUACCAGCUGGCUGCAACUGUUUAUUAAAAACACAGCACUGUGCAAACACGAAAGUGGACGUAUACGGUGUGACGCCUGCCCGGUGCCGGAAGGUUAAUUGAUGGGGUUAUCCGUAAGGAGAAGCUCUUGAUCGAAGCCCCGGUAAACGGCGGCCGUAACUAUAACGGUCCUAAGGUAGCGAAAUUCCUUGUCGGGUAAGUUCCGACCUGCACGAAUGGCGUAAUGAUGGCCAGGCUGUCUCCACCCGAGACUCAGUGAAAUUGAACUCGCUGUGAAGAUGCAGUGUACCCGCGGCAAGACGGAAAGACCCCGUGAACCUUUACUAUAGCUUGACACUGAACAUUGAGCCUUGAUGUGUAGGAUAGGUGGGAGGCUUUGAAGCGUGGACGCCAGUCUGCGUGGAGCCAACCUUGAAAUACCACCCUUUAAUGUUUGAUGUUCUAACGUUGGCCCCUGACCGGGGUUGCGGACAGUGUCUGGUGGGUAGUUUGACUGGGGCGGUCUCCUCCCAAAGCGUAACGGAGGAGCACGAAGGUUAGCUAAUCCUGGUCGGACAUCAGGAGGUUAGUGCAAUGGCAUAAGCUAGCUUGACUGCGAGCGUGACGGCGCGAGCAGGUGCGAAAGCAGGUCAUAGUGAUCCGGUGGUUCUGAAUGGAAGGGCCAUCGCUCAACGGAUAAAAGGUACUCCGGGGAUAACAGGCUGAUACCGCCCAAGAGUUCAUAUCGACGGCGGUGUUUGGCACCUCGAUGUCGGCUCAUCACAUCCUGGGGCUGAAGUAGGUCCCAAGGGUAUGGCUGUUCGCCAUUUAAAGUGGUACGCGAGCUGGGUUUAGAACGUCGUGAGACAGUUCGGUCCCUAUCUGCCGUGGGCGCUGGAGAAUUGAGGGGGGCUGCUCCUAGUACGAGAGGACCGGAGUGGACGCAUCACUGGUGUUCGGGUUGUCAUGCCAAUGGCACUGCCCGGUAGCUAAAUGCGGAAGAGAUAAGUGCUGAAAGCAUCUAAGCACGAAACUUGCCCCGAGAUGAGUUCUCCCUGAGACUUUAAGUCUCCUGAAGGAACGUUGAAGACGACGACGUUGAUAGGCCGGGUGUGUAAGCGCAGCGAUGCGUUGAGCUAACCGGUACUAAUGAACCGUGAGGCUUAACCUUACAACGCCGAAG